CCUACGGGUGGCAGCAGUGAGGAAUAUUGGUCAAUGGGCGUAAGCCUGAACCAGCCAAGCCGCGUGAGGGAUGAAGGUUCUAUGGAUCGUAAACCUCUUUUAUAAAGGGAUAAAGUGUGGGACGUGUCCUAUAUCGUAUGUACCUUAUGAAUAAGCAUCGGCUAACUCCGUGCCAGCAGCCGCGGUAAUACGGAGGAUCCGAGCGUUAUCCGGAUUUAUUGGGUUUAAAGGAUGCGUAGGCGGCCUUUUAAGUCAGCGGUGAAAGGCUGUGGCCCAACCACAGCAGAGCCGUUGAAACUGGCGGUCUUGAGAGUGUGUGAGGCAGGCGGAAUGCGUGGUGUAGCGGUGAAAUGCUUAGAUAUUGCGCAGAACUCCGAUUGCGAAGGCAGCCUGCC
Molecule: ribosomal RNA, 395 nt
Filed under: uncultured bacterium
Lineage: Bacteria
Description: partial 16S ribosomal RNA
Rfam family: Bacterial small subunit ribosomal RNA
Source: RNAcentral